AUUGCCUCAGUAACGGCGAGUGAAGCGGCAAGAGCUCAGAUUUGAAAUCCGGCAUGCUAUGUGUGCCCGAGUUGUAAUCUGGAGAGAGGUCUUCGGCUUAGGCAUCGGUCAAGAUUCCUUGGAAUAGGAUGACACAGAGGGUGAGAAUCCCGUACCUGGCUGACCGCCAACGCCAUGUGAGGCUUCUUCGACGAGUCGAGUUGUUUGGGAAUGCAGCUCUAAAUGGGUGGUAAAUUCCAUCUAAAGCUAAAUAUCUGCGAGAGACCGAUAGCGCACAAGUAGAGUGAUCGAAAGAUGAAAAGCACUUUGAAAAGAGAGUUAAAAAGUACGUGAAAUUGUUGAAAGGGAAGCGCUUGCCAUCAGAAUUGGGGUCGGCCGAUCAGCAUUCCUUCUGGUUUGUGCACUCGGCCGGCAUUCCAUGCCAGCACCAGUUGCGGCGGCAUGAUAAAGACGGCGGGAAUGUGGCUCCUCUCGGGGAGUGUUAUAGACCGCUGUGCCAUGAUGCCUGCUUCGUGACUGAGGACCGCGCCCUAGGCUUGGGUGCUGGCUUAAUGGUUGUAAGCGACCCGUCUUGAAACACGGACCAAGGAGUCUAACAUCUAUGCGAGUGUUUGGGUGUUCAAAACCCAUGACGCGAAAUGAAAGUGAACGGAAGUGAGAGCCCGCAAGGGUGCAUCAUUGACCGAUCCUGAUGUCUUC
Molecule: ribosomal RNA, 699 nt
Filed under: uncultured fungus
Lineage: Eukaryota; Fungi
Description: LSU rRNA
Rfam family: Eukaryotic large subunit ribosomal RNA
Source: RNAcentral